Molecule: microRNA precursor, 101 nt
Filed under: Marmota monax (woodchuck)
Lineage: Eukaryota; Metazoa; Chordata; Mammalia; Rodentia; Sciuridae
Source: RNAcentral
AAUGGAAUUAUUGGGUUAUAUGGAAACUAUGUUUAAUAUUUUGAGGAACUGCUGGACUAUUUUUCAUAAUGGUUGUAACAUUUUACAUUUCCAUCAGCAAU